Molecule: long non-coding RNA, 781 nt
Organism: Sitodiplosis mosellana (orange wheat blossom midge)
Lineage: Eukaryota; Metazoa; Arthropoda; Insecta; Diptera; Cecidomyiidae
Exons: 3
Source: RefSeq, a predicted model, not a curated record
CGAGAUUUUUGGAAAUACAUAUAAUUUGUCUGAUUUCAACGCAUUUAUUCACAAGUACAUUAACAAUAUGUUCAAGUGUCAAAAAUAAAAAUAACCGUAUGACAUCAUUGCCUUAGAAGUGUUUUCAUUGUAGUAUACACACUUAAUGUGACGCUGCUGAAUCUUACACAUUCUCAAAUUUUAAGUUCGAUAUCGAAAGCAUCAUGUCUCUUCUAUUCGACCGUCUAUGGACAGUUCCUGCAAUAUUGAAAUGUUUAUGUUUGAUAUUCGAACUCGUCGGGUUUAUUUUGUCAAAAAUAAGUUUGGAUACUACAUGGGGCUCUGCUGACGCAUUCUGUAUCAUAACUAUGAUCUUAUUCGUACCAACCGCAAUUCUAUUUGUUUUGUACAUGCUGAAAGCUGAUAACAUAUUUGGCGUAAAUUUGGAUAAAAUUGAGCUGUACUUUGCAGCUGUGGCGGCACUUGUUUUUCUGGUGAUAUCUUCUCUAAUUGUCGUAUUAAAAUUGUCGCUUUUAACAGCAGGGUCGGUCUUUGGGUAUUUAACUAUGGUUACAUAUGCAAUAGAAGCAUAUUUGAGAUACAGAUCACUUUACUGAUCGAUCCAAGGAAAAAAGAUAGAAUCUGAAUUGCCUUUAUAAGAUCACUUCAACGGAGAACACUCGUAUUUAUAUGAGCUAAAAUGCAAUUUGGUAUUUGAGUUGAUGUAUAAUGGAUCUAAUUUUAGUCGGAAAUUGUAUAAAAUAGAUGAAUUCUCCUAAAUAUACAUAGAAUAUCAAUAAUA